UUUAUCAAAAUCUGGGAAAUGAAAAAACAACUGCCUAAUAAUUUUGUCUCGCUAAAAUUUGAUUCUAGGAUCAUAAUUUUCAACCCACUUCAAUAAUUAUUAAGCAUCUUUUUCCAUCUUAAUUGUCAAUAUAAAUAAUAUCACAUAUUAAUCCUCUAUAUAAAAUCCAACCUAGAAAAAAAGAAGAGAAAAGUUCAUUGAAUAGAACCAAAAAUAUGUAGAAUCAAACAAGUAACUCAGCAUACAUCGAAAAAUUAGUUGAAACGGUAGAUUAAUUAACAACUAAAGGCAUCUCUCGAGAAGCCAUUAGAUUUCCACAAGAACCAUUUUAUUUUUCUCUCUCAAAAUUUGCACUCAAAGAGAACAAAGAAAUUUCAAAGUUUCUCAAAUUUCUAAAACUUGAAUUUCUUGAGUAGACACACAAUCCAAAUGUGCACCACAUUUACAAGCCAAACAACAAUAAAACCAACAAGUCUUCCCAACACCUUUUUUACAAACAUAACACAACACAUCAACUUCCACCUCCUUUCCUACAAACAAGUUACUACUAUUAUAACACAACGUAAGUGGAUGUUGAUGAUCUCCCCUCUCUUCAAUUUCAGGCAAACAAGCACACUCCACGUGAAGAUCAAACUUACAUUUCUCACAAUGAAAUGUAAACGCGUGGCCCGAAUUCCCACAUGCAUCGCACGUGUAUUCCCCAUCGUAAUAAGGAGGUUUAAAAUGGAGACUUAAAGUGUGUUUCGGGUGAGACUUAUGUUUAAUUUGCCUAGGCAAAUCGAAACAAGAGUCGUGGAGGAUGAAGUUGCAGUUCAUUUUUGUGCACGUGUAAGCGGACCCGCCCAAGAGGUCGUGCUCACAGCCGGAGCAAAUGACUUGAUCUUCUUCAUCGAGGAUAUCGGAGACUUUUAUUAAUGGGUGUCGAUGGCUGAAAUGGCUGAACUCUUCUAUUGGAGGACUUUCCAUUGUGUGAUCUGAUUGUAGAAGUCAAAUUUUCUUGUGUAUUUAUAAUAGGGGACAAUUACAUUUUUUGUCCCUUAGUUAUUAACAUGUUGCAAAUUUGGUCCUUGUGAUAUACUAGAAUAAUGUAUAUGUUACCUUUCAAGUAAUGUAUUUGUGCAGUUUUAGUCCUUCCACUAACAUAUUUCUGUUGAAUUAAUAAAUCUUUUAAAUGGAGAAUCAUAUGAAUGGAGCACCUUUUAUGUGUUUGUUUUGUUUCUCACUCUGAGUUUGGUACUUACUAUCCAUAAUGAAGCUCCAACUAAUCAGAAAUCGUGUCGUGUAAGGUUACUUUUAGGAGGAAGCGCUUCCUAAUAUGAUUUUUUUUAUAUCAAAGACUUGACCCUGAUACAUUUAAUUAAAACUUAGAAUCUUAUUCAUCUCAUGACCACAAUUCUUGUUGGUGCCUUUAUGUUACUAUAAGAAAGCAAUGCUAGUACUUUCAUUUAUUACUUUGAGGUAGGAACCUUGAAAAUUUAUUAGAGGAGAAAUUCAGACAAAUCUACUAAUUGAAGGUUAAAUAUGUUCAAUUAGAUAUUAUAGAGGUCAAACUAAUAAAUUUGACAAUUAAGGGACCAAAAUUAAAUAAUAUUUUCAAUUAAUUUGUUUCCACCUUCCCCUUUUCACAAGGAACUGGCAUAGUUAAGACCCAACUCCUUGUGCACUUCUGUGAAGGUGACAAUUUUGUUUGACUAAGUCAAUCUUAUGCCUUGUGGGAAGGUUCAUAAAGUUUGAAAUAAUUAAUCUUUGAUUAUUCUUAUACCUUAUGCUCGAAAAUUAUGUACAUUAAGUUUUUAUGUGUCAUAUUAUAAACGGCAAGCUCGAUUUAAUUCAGUUUUGUCUUCUUUUAAAAAGGAAAGUUGAAAAGUAUUUCGAAUUUGUCUAGUUCUUUUUAGUUUGAUAUUUAUUAUGUUUGGUACUAAUAUAAUUCCAGGCCAGGCUCCAGAUAUUAAAAGGUUAGAUCCAAAAAACAAUUGAAUUUGGAUCAUGCAAAGAAAGAGAAACACUAUGUUAGGUGCACCUAUAAUACUAAAUUAAAACAGGUUUAAGAAUAUUGCUUCAAAAUGAUUAAGAUAUCAAUGGAUACUGGUCGAAAAUGUAGUUAUCUGAAAUGUUGGAAUAAUAAUGGUGAAUAUGAACGUGAGAAGAAUAAUUAACAACCUGUUAUGAAUGUAUUUAUAUUAUAGUGGUCGAAAAUGUAGUUAUCUGAAAUGUUGGAAUAAUAAUGGUGAAUAUGAACGUGAGAAGAAUAAUUAACAACCUGUUAUGAAUGUAUUUAUAUUAUAGUGGUCGAAAAUGUAGUUAUCUGAAAUGUUGGAAUAAUAAUGGUGAAUAUGAACGUGUUGAUGAUCUCCCCUCUCUUCAAUUUCAGGCAAACAAGCACACUCCACGUGAAGAUCAAACUUACAUUUCUCACAAUGAAAUGUAAACGCGUGGCCCGAAUUCCCACAUGCAUCGCACGUGUAUUCCCCAUCGUAAUAAGGAGGUUUAAAAUGGAGACUUAAAGUGUGUUUCGGGUGAGACUUAUGUUUAAUUUGCCUAGGCAAAUCGAAACAAGAGUCGUGGAGGAUGAAGUUGCAGUUCAUUUUUGUGCACGUGUAAGCGGACCCGCCCAAGAGGUCGUGCUCACAGCCGGAGCAAAUGACUUGAUCUUCUUCAUCGAGGAUAUCGGAGACUUUUAUUAAUGGGUGUCGAUGGCUGAAAUGGCUGAACUCUUCUAUUGGAGGACUUUCCAUUGUGUGAUCUGAUUGUAGAAGUCAAAUUUUCUUGUGUAUUUAUAAUAGGGGACAAUUACAUUUUUUGUCCCUUAGUUAUUAACAUGUUGCAAAUUUGGUCCUUGUGAUAUACUAGAAUAAUGUAUAUGUUACCUUUCAAGUAAUGUAUUUGUGCAGUUUUAGUCCUUCCACUAACAUAUUUCUGUUGAAUUAAUAAAUCUUUUAAAUGGAG
RNAcentral lists this long non-coding RNA (2946 nucleotides) under Capsicum annuum. RNAcentral describes it as "long non-coding RNA (CANN_LNC001731)". The record is from RNAcentral. Lineage: Eukaryota; Viridiplantae; Streptophyta; Magnoliopsida; Solanales; Solanaceae.